UCAAGAAUAUUCCACAAUGGCCGAAAGGCUGAUGGAGCGACGCCGCGUGCAGGAAGAAGCCCCUCGGGGUGUAAACUGCUUUUAUCAGGGACGAAUCAAUGACGGUACCUGAUGAAUAAGGGGCUGCUAACUUCGUGCCAGCAGCAGCGGUAAUACGAAGGCCCCAAGCGUUAUCCGGAUUUAUUGGGCGUAAAGGGUGCGUAGGCGGUUUAUCGCAUCUCCUGUUAAAUCACGAGGCUCAACUUCGUGGCCGCAGGAGAGAUGGGUAAACUAGAGGCCGGAAAAGGUACGCGGAAUUGCUGGUGUAGGGGUUAAAUCCGUUAAUAUCAGCAGGAACACCAAAUGCGAAGGCAGCGUACUGGUACGGUCCUGACGCUCAGGCACGAAAGCGUGGGGAGCA
RNAcentral lists this ribosomal RNA (400 nucleotides) under uncultured bacterium. Its description in RNAcentral is "bacterial SSU rRNA". It matches the Rfam family "Bacterial small subunit ribosomal RNA", at positions 355 to 770 of the family's 1533-position model. The record is from RNAcentral.